AGUCGAACGAUGAACUCCCAUGCUUGCUCGGGGGGAUUAGUGGCGAACGGGUGAGUAACACGUGAGUAACCUGCCCUGGACUCUGGGAUAACCCCGAGAAAUCGGAGCUAAUACCGGAUAGGACCCUGUACCGCAUGGUGUGGGGUGGAAAGUUUUUCGGUCUGGGAUGGACUCGCGGCCUAUCAGCUUGUUGGUGAGGUAAUGGCUCACCAAGGCGUCGACGGGUAGCCGGCCUGAGAGGGUGACCGGCCACACUGGGACUGAGACACGGCCCAGACUCCUACGGGAGGCAGCAGUGGGGAAUAUUGCACAAUGGGCGCAAGCCUGAUGCAGCAACGCCGCGUGCGGGAUGACGGCCUUCGGGUUGUAAACCGCUUUUAGUAAGGAAGAAGGGGAGCUUGCUCCUUGACGGUACUUGCAGAAAAAGGACCGGCUAACUACGUGCCAGCAGCCGGGGUAAUUC
RNAcentral lists this ribosomal RNA (463 nucleotides) under Agromyces sp. HVYN-4-8. RNAcentral's name for it is "bacterial SSU rRNA". It matches the Rfam family "Bacterial small subunit ribosomal RNA", at positions 60 to 526 of the family's 1533-position model. The record is from RNAcentral. Lineage: Bacteria; Bacillati; Actinomycetota; Actinomycetes; Micrococcales; Microbacteriaceae.